This 468-nucleotide ribosomal RNA is filed under the name uncultured bacterium. RNAcentral describes it as "partial 16S ribosomal RNA". It matches the Rfam family "Bacterial small subunit ribosomal RNA", at positions 28 to 507 of the family's 1533-position model. The record is from RNAcentral.
GACGAACGCUGGCGGCGUGCUUAACACAUGCAAGUCGAACGGAAAGGCCCUGCUUUUGUGGGGUGCUCGAGUGGCGAACGGGUGUGUAACACGUGUGUAACCUGCCUUUGACUUUGGGAUAAUUUCAGGAAACUGGGGCUAAUACCGGAUAGGAGCCCCUGAUGCAUGGUGGGGGUUGGAAAGUUUCGGCGGUUGGGGAUGGACUCGCGGCUUAUCAGCUUGUUGGUGGGGUAGUGGCUUACCAAGGCUUUGACGGGUAGCCGGCCUGAGAGGGUGGACGGCCACAUUGGGACUGAGAUACGGCCCAGACUCCUACGGGAGGCAGCAGUGGGGAAUAUUGCACAAUGGGCGGAAGCCUGAUGCAGCAACGCCGCGUGCGGGAUGACGGCCUUCGGGUUGUAAACCGCUUUCGCCUGUGACGAAGCGUGAGUGACGGUAAUGGGUAAAGAAGCACCGGCUAACUACGUG